RNAcentral lists this ribosomal RNA (497 nucleotides) under uncultured bacterium. RNAcentral's name for it is "partial 16S ribosomal RNA". It matches the Rfam family "Bacterial small subunit ribosomal RNA", at positions 28 to 507 of the family's 1533-position model. The record is from RNAcentral.
GAUGAACGCUGGCGGCGUGCCUAAUACAUGCAAGUCGAGCGAACGGACGAGAAGCUUGCUUCUCUGAUGUUAGCGGCGGACGGGUGAGUAACACGUGGAUAACCUACCUAUAAGACUGGGAUAACUUCGGGAAACCGGAGCUAAUACCGGAUAAUAUUUUGAACCGCAUGGUUCAAAAGUGAAAGACGGUCUUGCCGUCACUUAUAGAUGGAUCCGCGCUGCAUUAGCUAGUUGGUAAGGUAACGGCUUACCAAGGCAACGAUGCAUAGCCGACCUGAGAGGGUGGUCGGCCACACGGGAACUGAGACACGGUCCAGACUCCUACGGGAGGCAGCAGUAGGGAAUCUUCCGCAAUGGGCGAAAGCCUGACGGAGCAACGCCGCGUGAGUGAUGAAGGUCUUCGGAUCGUAAAACUCUGUUAUUAGGGAAGAACAUAUGUGUAAGUAACUGUGCACAUCUUGACGGUACCUAAUCAGAAAGCCACGGCUAACUACGUG